GCCGAAAUAGCUCAUGUUGGGAGAGCGUUAGACUGAAGAUCUAAAGGUCCCUGGUUCGAUCCUGGGUUUUGGCA
This 74-nucleotide transfer RNA is filed under the name Salmo salar (Atlantic salmon). It matches the Rfam family "tRNA". Rfam says of the family: Transfer RNA (tRNA) molecules are approximately 80 nucleotides in length. Their secondary structure includes four short double-helical elements and three loops (D, anti-codon, and T loops). Lineage: Eukaryota; Metazoa; Chordata; Actinopteri; Salmoniformes; Salmonidae. The record is from Rfam by way of RNAcentral.